CCUGCCAGUGGCUUAAAGCGUAACGGCCGCGGUAUCUUGACCGUGCGAAGGUAGCAUAAUCACUUGUCUUUUAAAUGGAGACUUGUGUGAACGGCGAAACCUUUUUCAACUGUCUCUCCUCCCACCCUUCAAAAUUUCUUUUCGUGUGAAGAAGCACAGAUAUACCAGAAAGACAAGAAGACACUGUCGAGAUUUAACCAUUAAGUGAGCACUCCUAUUUACUUAGAUAUCACCUCAAGGUUUUGGUUGGGGCGACCGUGGCAGAAAAAAAAUCCUCCCGAAUAAAUAGAACAAAACCCUUCUCUAAUUAUCAACACGUAAAGAACCACGAAGUGGUAUUCAGAAAAAAUUACCGCAGGGAUAACAGCGUUGUCUCCUCUGAGAGUCCUUAUUGACGAGGAGGCUUGCGACCUCGUCGUUGGAUUAUGGCCCCCUUAGGGUGCAGAAGCUCUAAACGGUUAGACUGUUCGUCUAUUAUAGCCCUACUUGAUC
This 492-nucleotide ribosomal RNA is filed under the name Holothuria edulis. Its description in RNAcentral is "partial 16S ribosomal RNA". It matches the Rfam family "Bacterial large subunit ribosomal RNA", at positions 1858 to 2605 of the family's 2925-position model. The record is from RNAcentral. Lineage: Eukaryota; Metazoa; Echinodermata; Holothuroidea; Aspidochirotida; Holothuriidae.